UAAGAAAUGAUCAGUGUGAUAAAGACAAAGAAGUUUGGAAAGAUCCACAAGAAUUGAUGCAGCAGGAAGAGAAUGAGAAGAGAUAAAAUUCAGUUGGCUUCCCUGCAAUGCUAAUUGCCUAGCACUGUACAUUGCAAAUGGACAAAAACCUUGGAGAUAGGAGACAGAAAGCCAAGAUAAAAACAAAUAUUUGUUGGAUUGGAGUGGAUCUAAUUCCUGGCAGAAGCCCUCUAAGAAUAUCACAUUAACAAUUAAAUAUAAUCUUAUAUCCUAACAAAAGAACAGGGGUUCUAGGAAAGGUACUCCUCCCUUAUCCUGUAGUGCAUCCUGUGUGGGAUGCAUGACUACCACUGGUGGCUUAACCGAGUCCUCUAGUAUUUGGACUUUAGAGUUCAUUUCUCCAUAACCACUCUAAGGAAAACUGACAUCAGAAUGUGAUUUAUCUCAUUUAUCAUAAAGAACAGUUCCAGAAUGA
Phascolarctos cinereus (koala) is the source of this 475-nucleotide non-coding RNA. The record is from RefSeq and is a predicted model, not a curated record. Lineage: Eukaryota; Metazoa; Chordata; Mammalia; Diprotodontia; Phascolarctidae.